UACGGAGGAUGCGAGCGUUAUCCGGAUUUAUUGGGUUUAAAGGGUGCGUAGGCGGAUUUGUAAGUCAGCGGUAAAAAUGCGGUGCUCAACGCCGUAUCGCCGUUGAAACUGCGGGUCUUGAGUGAGCGAGAAGUAUGCGGAAUGCGUGGUGUAGCGGUGAAAUGCGUAGAUAUUAGGAGGAACACCAGCGGCGAAGGCGGCUUACUGGACCGUGACUGACGUUGAGGCUCGAAAGCAUGGGUAGCGAACAGG
RNAcentral lists this ribosomal RNA (252 nucleotides) under uncultured Bacteroidales bacterium. RNAcentral describes it as "partial 16S ribosomal RNA". It matches the Rfam family "Bacterial small subunit ribosomal RNA", at positions 524 to 776 of the family's 1533-position model. The record is from RNAcentral. Lineage: Bacteria; Pseudomonadati; Bacteroidota; Bacteroidia; Bacteroidales.